AUACGUAGGUGACAAGCGUUAUCCGGAUUUACUGGGCGUAAAGGGCGUGUAGGCGGUCUUGCAAGUCAGAAGUGAAAUUCCUGAGCUCAACUCGGGCGCUGCUUCUGAAACUGCAGGACUUGAGUGCUGGAGGGGAUAGCGGAAUUCCUAGUGGAGCGGUAAAAUGCGCAGAAAUUAGGAAGAACACCGGUGGCGAAGGCGGCUAUCUGGACAGUAACUGACGCUGAGGCGCGAAAGCGUGGGGAGCAAACAGGAUUAGAUACCCUGGUAGUCCACGCCGUAACGAUGAAUACUAGGUGUAGGGGGUAUCGACUCCCUCUGUGCCGCAGUUAACACAAUAAGUAUUCCGCCUGGGGAGUACGGCCGCAAGGUUGAAACUCAAAUGAAUUGACGGGG
Molecule: ribosomal RNA, 396 nt
Filed under: uncultured bacterium
Lineage: Bacteria
Description: partial 16S ribosomal RNA
Rfam family: Bacterial small subunit ribosomal RNA
Source: RNAcentral